Molecule: unclassified non-coding RNA, 729 nt
Filed under: Trentepohlia cf. arborum D81
Lineage: Eukaryota; Viridiplantae; Chlorophyta; Ulvophyceae; Trentepohliales; Trentepohliaceae
Description: sequence contains ITS1, 5.8S rRNA gene and ITS2
Rfam family: 5.8S ribosomal RNA (bases 331-484)
Source: RNAcentral
UGCGGAAGGAUCAUUUAAAUUCGAUCAUAAAAACAACACGCCAAGUAUGGUAACCAAAACUCUUCGGUACCAAAGAUCGAAGGGGGGGGAGGGGGUAGAAAGAGGAGGAGCCGGGGGAGAGUGCGUGGUGACACCACCGCAAAAUCUCCCCCCCGGUAGUAUUGCGGUCUCCUUCCGAGGAGUAACCCGUGCUGCCCCUUUUCAUUUUAUAAAUUUUUCUUUCUUCUUUCCUUCCCACCCUCGUUCUUAUCCAAACAAAACGCCAAAUCGUUUAAAAGUAAAAUAGAUAAGUCGUGGUCGCAACUGACCGCGCAAACUAAUCAAGUAAACUACCCCUAACAACGGAUGUCUUGGCUCUCGCAACWAUGAAGAACGCAGCGAAAUGCGAUAUGUAGUGUGAAUUGCAGAAUUACGUGAAUCAUCGAAUCUUUGAACGCAUAUGGCACCCGAGACUUCGGUCGAGGGUAUGUCUGCCUCAGAGUCGACGUUAACUAUCUCCCCCGGGAUCGAAAUCGAAAGUCCGGGCAGGAGGAACUGGUAUUCCCACCUUCGCGAGAUGGGUGGGUCUACCGAAGGACAGAGACGGAGGAUCGGUGGUGUCAAAACCCGCCGGGGAAACCACGAUUUGGUGGGAGGGAGACUCGCCCUCCGCAAGGGAGWWGCUUACGGGUYGUAUCCGCAUCUCUCGUCGKGGCGGUACCCGAUCGGGAGACGURCCAACCUCUCGCG